Zingiber officinale is the source of this 1332-nucleotide RNA transcript. RefSeq lists it as uncharacterized. The transcript is spliced from 3 exons. The record is from RefSeq and is a predicted model, not a curated record. NCBI's taxonomy places the organism in Eukaryota, Viridiplantae, Streptophyta, Magnoliopsida, Zingiberales, Zingiberaceae.
UCUCUUCUGGACGCCUUCACCCCUCUCACACCUCAAGCCUCACGCCUCACGCCUAUGCCUCAUGUCGAACACCGACCUCAAUCCGCCGGCCGAUGUCCGUCCUCCUCCAUCUUCACUGUUGGCCGGCCAAUUGCCGCAGCCAAUGGCGGUGGCAAGGCGGCGCAGGGGUGUGCGGAAGCACCCCCUUGCUCCCAGAAAUUCCACUAGUAUACGGCCUCCGUCAAGGAUCUUCUUCCUUUCCCCUCCCGAUUGUUCCCUCCCCCGUCGAUCUCGAGGCCGAAGCUCCCAUCGAACCCUACCUCUGUUGCAGACUUCGGUGAGACGGAGGAAGAUGGCGACAAUGGAGAUGCGGCCGAAGAGGAGGAUGGCGGAGGCAGCAGGGGCGAAGUCGCGAAGAGAAAGUGAAUAUCAAAUCGCGGCAACACAUGGAGCACUGGGAGCGGCAUUGCCCCAAGCCCAGCCUCAGGUGUCAUGUGCCGCUGCCGAGGUACAAGGUACCGGUUCCAUGGCCCAAGAGCAAAGACAUGGUGAGAUUGAUUCUUGGGUAAGCCGGCUAUGGUUUUCUUUUUCCCCAAUUCUCUCAUUGAUCGUCGCAAUGUAUCUGAUUAAACCUGAUGAUUGCCCUAUCUAGUUUCUCCUUGCUUCUGAUUCCCGUGUUGACUCAUACUGAUCUAUAAAGACGGAUCCUGUUACCACUUUGAGAAGAAUAUGAUUUGGUAUGAUAAUAUUCCUCACACCAAACUCGUUGAAUAUAAGAAAGACCAAAACUGGGUACAGAGUUCAGGUGAUUACCUAGUUUUCCCUGGAGGUGAAACUCAAUUGAAAGAUGGUGUUUCUAAAUACAUCGAGUUCAUCGAGCUUGUAAGUGGGAAGUCACUCUUGAAGCUCAAUCGGAUUCUUAGAGUUGGAGGAUUUUUGUUUGGCCCCAACAACUGUUCAACACCUGUUUACCGCAAUAAUGAAAAUAUAUGUGUAAAAAUACGAGCUAACUCAAAAAUCUUAUGCUUCUAGGUAACUAAAUUCUUUGUUGUUUUUUUAUUUGUUCAAAUGAUAUUUAAAAGAUAAUUUAGAAACAUCAUGUGCACACUUUUGAUAUACUUAAUUCUGGUUCUUUGAUAAUGAGAAAGAGUAGGUUUUGUUCAUUUUGAGUUGUCAAUGUUUCAUAGGCACACAAACUAGUAGUGAGGAACAAUAGCAUGCAUGCUCAUCUUGGUGAUUGAAAUUGAUUGGUAUUCUCUAAUUUUUUUUUCUUAUUUUAUUGUAAUAUUAUUGAAUAUGUUGUUACAAUGUUAGACAAUUACUGUUAGACAAUCAUUGUAUAUUUAUCAUUGA